This 71-nucleotide non-coding RNA is filed under the name uncultured Blautia sp. RNAcentral's name for it is "Cyclic di-GMP-I riboswitch". It matches the Rfam family "c-di-GMP-I riboswitch aptamer", at positions 10 to 83 of the family's 87-position model. Rfam says of the family: GEMM was predicted in a large-scale screen for bacterial structured RNA regulatory elements. The record is from RNAcentral. Lineage: Bacteria; Bacillati; Bacillota; Clostridia; Lachnospirales; Lachnospiraceae.
UGGGCAAACCUAUAGAAAUAUAGGGACGCAAAGUUUAGUGUCUAAGGAAGUAUCUAUGAUUGACUGGCUGC